Camellia sinensis is the source of this 729-nucleotide non-coding RNA. Lineage: Eukaryota; Viridiplantae; Streptophyta; Magnoliopsida; Ericales; Theaceae. The record is from RefSeq and is a predicted model, not a curated record.
GGUUUGCGUAGCAGACAGGGGGAGAGAGAGAGAGAGAGGAGGGGGAAGAAGACGGACGCAGCAACGAAGACAUCUGGUGAUUGGCGAUUGUAGGAGACCGACUGGCGUCGAGCAAUAGCGGAAGAAAAGACGAGCGACGAAGAACCACAUUGUCGAUGAGCAAUAUGUCUAUUCUAAUGCCAUUCAUGUAUUCUGCACCUACAAGCUAUCGAGCAUUGCUUAACAAUGCAAGUGGUUAUGAGUUCGGGUUACUAGAUUCACAUGCCUCAAACAAUCCUACAUGUAGUCAGGCGCCACAGUAGCAUGGGCAUGAUAAAACAGUUGAUACAUUGAAAGCACAUGAUCAUGAUGGAAUUUAAUGGAUUAGAAAUUUGUCUUUGUUUCCUUGUGAAAGUUGUUUUUGAUGUAUUAAGUACUCACUGUUAUUUGGGAUUUAUUAGCGACUUCGUUCUAAAUUGUACUCUUACUAGCGUAUGCUCGUGCCUGAAGGCACGAUAUAAAUAAUUGUGAUCAACAUACAGUUAUAAUUCAUAUGUAUCAUAUUAAAAUUUAUUAUGAAGUUUGUAAUUUUUUUGACAAAAAUAUUGAAAAAAUAUAAAGAAAUACUAUUCUUUUUAAAAAUUGUAACAAUUUUAUUUGUAUCUUAAGUUUUAUAAAACUCAAAUAAAGUAACAACGAAAUAAUCCAAAACUCCAGUGAUGCAUCUCACAGAGAAGCACCGAAAUACUC